AGAGUUUGAUCAUGGCUCAGGACGAACGCUGGCGGCGUGCUUAACACAUGCAAGUCGAACGAGGUCCAACCAGUCGCAAGACUGGGGAAGACCUAGUGGCGAACGGGUGAGUAACACGUGAGCAACCUGCCCCGAAGACUGGGAUAACACCGGGAAACCGGUGCUAAUACCGGAUACCCCCACCAAAUCGCAUGGUUCGGUGAGGAAAUGGAUUCCGCUUCGGGAGGGGCUCGCGGGCUAUCAGCUUGUUGGUGGGGUAACGGCCCACCAAGGCUUCGACGGCUAGCUGGUCUGAGAGGACGAUCAGCCACACUGGGACUGAGACACGGCCCAGACUCCUACGGGAGGCAGCAGUGGGGAAUCUUGCCCAAUGGGCGAAAGCCUGAGGCAGCAACGCCGCGUGCGGGAUGACGGCCUUCGGGUUGUAAACCGCUUUCAGCAGGGACGAAAUUGACGGUACCUGCAGAAGAAGCUCCGGCCAACUACGUGCCAGCAGCCGCGGUAAUACGUAGGGAGCGAGCGUUGUCCGGAUUUAUUGGGCGUAAAGAGCGCGUAGGCGGCUCAGUAAGUCGGGUGUGAAAACUCCAAGCUCAACUUGGAGCGGCCACUCGAUACUGCUGUGGCUUGAGUCUGGUAGGGGAUCACGGAAUUCCUGGUGUAGCGGUGAAAUGCUUAGAUAUCAGGAGGAACACCGGUGGCGAAGGCGGUGAUCUGGGCCAGUACUGACGCUGAGGCGCGAAAGCGUGGGGAGCGAACAGGAUUAGAUACCCUGGUAGUCC
Molecule: ribosomal RNA, 779 nt
Filed under: uncultured Acidimicrobiales bacterium
Lineage: Bacteria; Bacillati; Actinomycetota; Acidimicrobiia; Acidimicrobiales
Description: bacterial SSU rRNA
Rfam family: Bacterial small subunit ribosomal RNA
Source: RNAcentral